This 253-nucleotide ribosomal RNA is filed under the name uncultured bacterium. RNAcentral describes it as "partial 16S ribosomal RNA". It matches the Rfam family "Bacterial small subunit ribosomal RNA", at positions 524 to 776 of the family's 1533-position model. The record is from RNAcentral.
UACAGAGGGUGCAAGCGUUGUUCGGAAUUAUUGGGCGUAAAGGGCGUGUAGGCGGUUUGCUAAGUCAACCGUGAAAGCUCCCGGCUAAACUGGGAGAGGUCGGAUGAGACUGCAGCGCUAGUGGGUCGUAGAGGAAUGUGGAAUUCCGGGUGUAGUGGUGAAAUGCGUAGAGAUCCGGAGGAACACCAGAGGCGAAGGCAGCUUGCUGGGCCUUUUCUGACGCUGAGGAACGAAAGCGUGGGGAGCGAACAGG